RNAcentral lists this ribosomal RNA (719 nucleotides) under Streptococcus pneumoniae. Its description in RNAcentral is "partial 23S ribosomal RNA". It matches the Rfam family "Bacterial large subunit ribosomal RNA", at positions 2212 to 2925 of the family's 2925-position model. The record is from RNAcentral. Lineage: Bacteria; Bacillati; Bacillota; Bacilli; Lactobacillales; Streptococcaceae.
CUUUGAGGUUCUAACUCAGGUCCGUCAUCCGGAUCGAGGACAGUGUAUGGUGGGUAGUUUGACUGGGGCGGUCUCCUCCCAAAGAGUAACGGAGGAGUACGAAGGUGCGCUCAGACCGGUCGGAAAUCGGUCGUAGAGUAUAAAGGCAAAAGCGCGCUUGACUGCGAGACAAACACGUCGAGCAGGUACGAAAGUAGGUCUUAGUGAUCCGGUGGUUCUGUAUGGAAGGGCCAUCGCUCAACGGAUAAAAGGUACUCCGGGGAUAACAGGCUGAUACCGCCCAAGAGUUCAUAUCGACGGCGGUGUUUGGCACCUCGAUGUCGGCUCAUCACAUCCUGGGGCUGAAGCCGGUCCCAAGGGUAUGGCUGUUCGCCAUUUAAAGUGGUACGCGAGCUGGGUUUAGAACGUCGUGAGACAGUUCGGUCCCUAUCUGCCGUGGACGUUUGAGAUUUGAGAGGGGCUGCUCCUAGUACGAGAGGACCGGAGUGGACGAACCUCUGGUGUUCCGGUUGUCACGCCAGUGGCAUUGCCGGGUAGCUAUGUUCGGAAGAGAUAACCGCUGAAAGCAUCUAAGCGGGAAACUUGCCUCAAGAUGAGAUCUCACUGGGAUCUUGAAUCCCCUAAAGGGCCGUCGAAGACUACGACGUUGAUAGGUUGGGUGUGUAAGCGCUGUGAGGCGUUGAGCUAACCAAUACUAAUUGCCCGUGAGGCUUGACCAU